Molecule: ribosomal RNA, 1427 nt
Filed under: uncultured organism
Description: 16S ribosomal RNA
Rfam family: Bacterial small subunit ribosomal RNA
Source: RNAcentral
GACGAACGCUGGCGGCGUGCUUAACACAUGCAAGUCGAACGGAAAGGCCCUGCUUUUGUGGGGUGCUCGAGUGGCGAACGGGUGAGUAACACGUGAGUAACCUGCCCUUGACUUUGGGAUAACUUCAGGAAACUGGGGCUAAUACCGGAUAGGAGCUCCUGCUGCAUGGUGGGGGUUGGAAAGUUUCGGCGGUUGGGGAUGGACUCGCGGCUUAUCAGCUUGUUGGUGGGGUAGUGGCUUACCAAGGCUUUGACGGGUAGCCGGCCUGAGAGGGUGACCGGCCACAUUGGGACUGAGAUACGGCCCAGACUCCUACGGGAGGCAGCAGUGGGGAAUAUUGCACAGUGGGCGGAAGCCUGAUGCAGCAACGCCGCGUGCGGGAUGACGGCCUUCGGGUUGUAAACCGCUUUCGCCUGUGACGAAGCGUGAGUGACGGUAAUGGGUAAAGAAGCACCGGCUAACUACGUGCCAGCAGCCGCGGUGAUACGUAGGGUGCGAGCGUUGUCCGGAUUUACUGGGCGUAAAGGGCUCGUAGGUGGUUGAUCGCGUCGGAAGUGUAAUCUUGGGGCUUAACCCUGAGCGUGCUUUCGAUACGGGUUGACUUGAGGAAGGUAGGGGAGAAUGGAAUUCCUGGUGGAGCGGUGGAAUGCGCAGAUAUCAGGAGGAACACCAGUGGCGAAAGCGGUUCUCUGGGCCUUUCCUGACGCUGAGGAGCGAAAGCGUGGGGAGCGAACAGGCUUAGAUACCCUGGUAGUCCACGCUGUAAACGGUGGGUACUAGGUGUGGGGUCCAUUCCACGGGUUCCGUGCCGUAGCUAACGCUUUAAGUACCCCGCCUGGGGAGUACGGCCGCAAGGCUAAAACUCAAAGGAAUUGACGGGGCCCCGCACAAGCGGCGGAGCAUGCGGAUUAAUUCGAUGCAACGCGUAGAACCUUACCUGGGUUUGACAUGGAUCGGGAGUGCUCAGAGAUGGGUGUGCCUCUUUUGGGGUCGGUUCACAGGUGGUGCAUGGCUGUCGUCAGCUCGUGUCGUGAGAUGUUGGGUUAAGUCCCGCAACGAGCGCAACCCUUGUUCACUGUUGCCAGCACGUUAUGGUGGGGACUCAGUGGAGACCGCCGGGGUCAACUCGGAGGAAGGUGGGGAUGACGUCAAGUCAUCAUGCCCCUUAUGUCCAGGGCUUCACGCAUGCUACAAUGGCUGGUACAGAGAGUGGCGAGCCUGUGAGGGUGAGCGAAUCUCGGAAAGCCGGUCUCAGUUCGGAUUGGGGUCUGCAACUCGACCUCAUGAAGUCGGAGUCGCUAGUAAUCGCAGAUCAGCAACGCUGCGGUGAAUACGUUCCCGGGGCUUGUACACACCGCCCGUCAAGUCAUGAAAGUUGGUAACACCCGAAGCCGGUGGCCUAACCGUUGUGGGGGAGCCGUCGAAGG